UACCUGCAGCUCAAGUAGUGACCACUAUUAUUGGGCCUAAAACGUUCGUAGCCGGUUUGGUAAAUGCCUGGGUAAAUCGUGUAGCUUAACUAUACGAAUUCCGGGUAGACUGCCAAACUCGAAACCGGGAGAAGCUAGAGGUACUCCUGGGGUAGAGGUGAAAUUCUGUAAUCCUAGGGGGACCACCAGUGGCGAAGGCGUCUAGCUAGAACGGGUUUGACGGUGAGGAACGGAGCCCUGGGGCGCAAACCGGAUUAGAUACCCGGGUAGUCCAGGGUGUAAACGCUGCUUGCUUGAUGUUCGUUGGGCUCCGAGCCCAAUUUGUGUCGGAGAGAAGUUGUUAAGCAAGCUGCCUGGGAAUACGAUCGCAAGAUUGAAACUUAAAGGAAUUGGGCGGGGGAGCACAGCAACGGGUGGAGCGUGCGGUUU
This 429-nucleotide ribosomal RNA is filed under the name uncultured archaeon. Its description in RNAcentral is "bacterial SSU rRNA". It matches the Rfam family "Archaeal small subunit ribosomal RNA", at positions 474 to 903 of the family's 1478-position model. The record is from RNAcentral.